This 763-nucleotide ribosomal RNA is filed under the name uncultured Streptococcus sp. RNAcentral describes it as "bacterial SSU rRNA". It matches the Rfam family "Bacterial small subunit ribosomal RNA", at positions 28 to 776 of the family's 1533-position model. The record is from RNAcentral. Lineage: Bacteria; Bacillati; Bacillota; Bacilli; Lactobacillales; Streptococcaceae.
GACGAACGCUGGCGGCGUGCCUAAUACAUGCAAGUAGAACGCUGAAGGAGGAGCUUGCUUCUCCGGAUGAGUUGCGAACGGGUGAGUAACGCGUAGGUAACCUGCCUGGUAGCGGGGGAUAACUAUUGGAAACGAUAGCUAAUACCGCAUAACAGUAGAUAUUGCAUGAUAUCUGCUUGAAAGGUGCAAUUGCAUCACUACCAGAUGGACCUGCGUUGUAUUAGCUAGUUGGUGGGGUAACGGCUCACCAAGGCGACGAUACAUAGCCGACCUGAGAGGGUGAUCGGCCACACUGGGACUGAGACACGGCCCAGACUCCUACGGGAGGCAGCAGUAGGGAAUCUUCGGCAAUGGACGGAAGUCUGACCGAGCAACGCCGCGUGAGUGAAGAAGGUUUUCGGAUCGUAAAGCUCUGUUGUAAGAGAAGAACGAGUGUGAGAGUGGAAAGUUCACACUGUGACGGUAUCUUACCAGAAAGGGACGGCUAACUACGUGCCAGCAGCCGCGGUAAUACGUAGGUCCCGAGCGUUGUCCGGAUUUAUUGGGCGUAAAGCGAGCGCAGGCGGUUAGAUAAGUCUGAAGUUAAAGGCUGUGGCUUAACCAUAGUACGCUUUGGAAACUGUUUAACUUGAGUGCAAGAGGGGAGAGUGGAAUUCCAUGUGUAGCGGUGAAAUGCGUAGAUAUAUGGAGGAACACCGGUGGCGAAAGCGGCUCUCUGGCUUGUAACUGACGCUGAGGCUCGAAAGCGUGGGGAGCAAACAGG